UACAGAGGUCUCAAGCGUUGUUCGGAUUCAUUGGGCGUAAAGGGUGCGUAGGUGGCGCCAUAAGUCGGGUGUGAAAUCUCGGGGCUUAACUCCGAAACUGCAUUCGAUACUGUGGUGCUUGAGGACUGGAGAGGAGACUGGAAUUCAUGGUGUAGCAGUGAAAUGCGUAGAGAUCAUGAGGAAGACCAGUGGCGAAGGCGGGUCUCUGGACAGUUCCUGACACUGAGGUACGAAGGCCAGGGGAGCAAACGGG
RNAcentral lists this ribosomal RNA (253 nucleotides) under uncultured bacterium. RNAcentral's name for it is "partial 16S ribosomal RNA". It matches the Rfam family "Bacterial small subunit ribosomal RNA", at positions 524 to 776 of the family's 1533-position model. The record is from RNAcentral.